CACCAAUGUCAAAUGGGUCUGCUGCCUUGCGAGUCGGCCCCUCCUCAAUUAUAUCCAUGCCAUCUGUUCCAGUUUGGGAAGCUACAAUUGCAGUUUCAUGAAUGGAGACCAAGUUGGAUGGGCGGAUUUAAUGAGUGCUGCUAAUCCACUCACAUGAGGACAAGCCAUUGAAGUUCCUGAUAAGAAGGCAAACCCAUUGCUAGUUCCAGCAUCAACUGGUGAAUAAGCUGCUAAGAUGUUCACUCCUGGGGCAGCAACAUCGGGCUGCAUCAUCAACCAAACACGAAUUAUAAGGAGACAAGCACAGCAGGAGACAUGGAACUGGGUCCUCUGGACGAGAAAUAUGCAACAUGUGGAGAUGCCCAUUUCCCUGUAACAGUCUUUGGAAAUUUCAGCUUUGCAGUAGGAGACCUUCACCGACAAGUUUAUGAGGAAUUAAAUCACAUGACUCAAGCUGACUGGUGGGGAACUGUGCAAAAAUAAGUCCAAUGCCUCCUGCUUCCAGCACUGCACCUGAUGCAGAAAUUAUAUCCUGUUUGUCCGAUUUUGAGAAACAGAGGAUAAUUUUUCCUGCUGCUAAUGUUGCAUUGAGGCUUCCAGGCUGACAGUCCUUUCUGCAACAAGGGUAUGAAGUAUUAGAAAAUGCGGGAGAAAGUAGAAGAAAAUAGUAAAUGAAGCAAAGCCUCUCACGCUGAAUCGUCCUUUGGGUCUAAAGCUACGCGUUCUGAAUAAGUGAGACCAGUGAAUCCAAGUUUAUGCUUUCCUGUAUCAAUAGAUUGACCC
Vitis vinifera (wine grape) is the source of this 783-nucleotide long non-coding RNA. RefSeq lists it as uncharacterized. The transcript has 4 exons. The record is from RefSeq and is a predicted model, not a curated record. NCBI's taxonomy places the organism in Eukaryota, Viridiplantae, Streptophyta, Magnoliopsida, Vitales, Vitaceae.